Molecule: ribosomal RNA, 493 nt
Filed under: Levilactobacillus namurensis
Lineage: Bacteria; Bacillati; Bacillota; Bacilli; Lactobacillales; Lactobacillaceae
Description: bacterial SSU rRNA
Rfam family: Bacterial small subunit ribosomal RNA
Source: RNAcentral
CUGGAUGGUUCCGCGGCGCAUUAGCUUGUUGGUGGGGUAACGGCUCACCAAGGCGAUGAUGCGUAGCCGACCUGAGAGGGUAAUCGGCCACAUUGGGACUGAGACACGGCCCAGACUCCUACGGGAGGCAGCAGUAGGGAAUCUUCCACAAUGGACGCAAGUCUGAUGGAGCAAUGCCGCGUGAGUGAAGAAGGGUUUCGGCUCGUAAAACUCUGUUGUUGAAGAAGAACGGGUGUCAGAGUAACUGUUGACAUCGUGACGGUAUUCAACCAGAAAGCCACGGCUAACUACGUGCCAGCAGCCGCGGUAAUACGUAGGUGGCAAGCGUUGUCCGGAUUUAUUGGGCGUAAAGCGAGCGCAGGCGGUUUCUUAAGUCUGAUGUGAAAGCCUUCGGCUUAACCGAAGAAGUGCAUCGGAAACUGGGGAACUUGAGUGCAGAAGAGGACAGUGGAACUCCAUGUGUAGCGGUGGAAUGCGUAGAUAUAUGGAAGAA